This 1066-nucleotide long non-coding RNA is filed under the name Fragaria vesca (wild strawberry). Its description in RNAcentral is "long non-coding RNA (FVES_LNC003961)". Lineage: Eukaryota; Viridiplantae; Streptophyta; Magnoliopsida; Rosales; Rosaceae. The record is from RNAcentral.
CUCUCCCUCCCCGGCCUAGCCCCCGAGCCUCUAACCCGCCGGAAGAGGAGAAAACCCGCCGGAAACGCCGGGAAGCAUUUCGCCGGAACUUCCUCCUCCGGCCACCAAUCUGGGCAAGCUUGGUACGGUUUUGUAGCCCUCCUCCCGUGCAACAACCCCUCCAAACAGCUCCCUCCCUCUUGAGCUAGGUAAGGAGAAAUUUGAGGUGGAAGUUUUAUGGUGUUUUUGAUGUUUUUAGUCGAUUGCCCUAGUUAGGCUUGGAAUUGGUGUUUGUGCUAGUUAUGAAAGUUGUAGAGCUUGAUGAGAGGAAGAUGCUGUUAAAAUUUCAUAGGUUUUGGAGGUCGCCGGAAUUGACCUCCGGCCGCCGCUGUUUUGGGAAAUUUUAUGGUUUUUGAUGUAGAAUAUUAAGGGGAUAUUAUUGAAGUGAAUUAUGGAAUUUUUGGAUGAGUUUUGGAUAGGUUUAUGAAUUUCCGAAGUGUGGUAUUUUUGGCGGGUAAUUAAUGUAGAAUCCGGCCGUUGGAUUUAAGUCGUAUUUUGGAGAGGUUGUAUUUACGACUGUGGAGUAUGAUAUUUAAGUUCGGAUCGUCCGAUGUAAGAAUAUCGAAGUUAGGCAAUAAUGAGCGUAAUUAUGGCUCUCGGGUAAUUUUGCCUAUUUUGAUUAAAUAUUGGAUAUUGGUUGGGAAAUUAAUAUUAUAUUUGGAACAGGACGUGAAGAGGCUCGAGCAGACGAGACCCCAGAUUGACAUCAGGCUUAGGCCUAAUUCGUGAGUGGACUUUUAUUUGAAAUAAUAUGCAUGCUAUGGUUCAUGAUUGAACUAUUUUCCUUUUGUUGGUAGUUUUACCGUCUAAUUUAAUUUUGACGUCUUUUAUUUCUCUGAGAGAGAGUUACCGAAAAUGGGAUUUUCGGUGAAUAUAAAUAUGUAUAUAUGAGAGAGUAUGUAUAGAAAAUGCUAGCUAGCCAUAUGUGUCUGUCCACCUUAAUGGCGUAACAUAUAGCCGCAUUAUGAUGUGAGUGAGCGUUGGACGUAAGCGUAGUAGCCCUAUAUGAGUGUUUAAUUCAUAUAGG